Molecule: ribosomal RNA, 404 nt
Filed under: Acidobacteriota bacterium
Lineage: Bacteria; Pseudomonadati; Acidobacteriota
Description: Acidobacteria bacterium partial 16S ribosomal RNA
Rfam family: Bacterial small subunit ribosomal RNA
Source: RNAcentral
UGGGGAAUAUUGCACAAUGGGGGAAACCCUGAUGCAGCGACGCCGCGUGAGCGAUGAAGUAUUUCGGUAUGUAAAGCUCUAUCAGCAGGGAAGAUAAUGACGGUACCUGACUAAGAAGCUCCGGCUAAAUACGUGCCAGCAGCCGCGGUAAUACGUAUGGAGCAAGCGUUAUCCGGAUUUACUGGAUGUAAAGGGAGCGUAGGCGGUCCUGCAAGUCUGAUGUGAAAACCCGGGGCUCAACCCCGGGACUGCAUUGGAAACUGUAGGACUAGAGUGUCGGAGGGGUAAGUGGAAUUCCUAGUGUAGCGGUGAAAUGCGUAGAUAUUAGGAGGAACACCAGUGGCGAAGGCGGCUUACUGGACGACCACUGACGCUGAGGCUCGAAAGCGUGGGGAGCAAACAGG